AGGACGAACGCUGGCGGCGUGCUUAACACAUGCAAGUCGAGCGGUAAGGCCUUUCGGGGUACACGAGCGGCGAACGGGUGAGUAACGCGUGGGUGAUCUGCCCUGCACUUCGGGAUAAGCCUGGGAAACUGGGUCUAAUACCGGAUAUGACCUCAGGUUGCAUGACUUGGGGUGGAAAGAUUUAUCGGUGCAGGAUGGGCCCGCGGCCUAUCAGCUUGUUGGUGGGUAAUGGCCUACCAAGGCGACGACGGGUAGCCGACCUGAGAGGGUGACCGGCCACGACUGGGACUGAGACACGGCCCAGACUCCUACGGGAGGCAGCAGGUGGGGAAUAUUGCACGAAUGGGCGAAAGCCUGAUGCAGCGACGCCGCGUGGAGGAUGACGGCCUUCGGGUUCGUAAACCUCUUUCAGCAGGACGAAGCGCAGCGACGACGUGCAGAAGACGCGACGCAACUA
This 457-nucleotide ribosomal RNA is filed under the name uncultured soil bacterium. Its description in RNAcentral is "bacterial SSU rRNA". It matches the Rfam family "Bacterial small subunit ribosomal RNA", at positions 26 to 503 of the family's 1533-position model. The record is from RNAcentral.